CAGUAGCCGCGGGAAAACGAAGGGGGCUAGCGUUGCUCGGAAUGACUGGGCGUAAAGGGCGCGUAGGCGGCGGCCAAAGUCAGGCGUGAAAUUCCCGGGCUCAACCUGGGGGCUGCGUUUGAUACUUGGUUGCUUGAGUGGGGAAGAGGGUCGUGGAAUUCCCAGUGUAGAGGUGAAAUUCGUAGAUAUUGGGAAGAACACCAGUGGCGAAGGCGGCUACCUGGACUGACACUGACACUGAGGCGCGAAAGCGUGGGGAGCAAACAGGAUUAGAUACCCGCGUAGUCCCUGUCUCUUAUAC
RNAcentral lists this ribosomal RNA (301 nucleotides) under uncultured bacterium. RNAcentral's name for it is "partial 16S ribosomal RNA". It matches the Rfam family "Bacterial small subunit ribosomal RNA", at positions 509 to 807 of the family's 1533-position model. The record is from RNAcentral.